Molecule: long non-coding RNA, 1034 nt
Filed under: Vulpes vulpes (red fox)
Lineage: Eukaryota; Metazoa; Chordata; Mammalia; Carnivora; Canidae
Description: lncRNA (ENSVVUG00000022207.1)
Source: RNAcentral
GGAUAAUGAAGGGAACCUUCCUGGAGCCUGUGGAAUGCUGUCUCUAGGGCUAAUAUCCACCCACCUUUAGAGCUGGCUUUUUUAAGAAGCCAGUAACAACAAAAGGGUGAUUUUCAAUUCCUGUGGCAGAAAUGCCAGCAAUAACUAUGUUCUGAACGGUAGUCUAGGAGGUCCCUGUGAUGGUCUCUUUACAUAUACUCCCUGUAAUCGAAUAGGAAGUCUCUAAUUCAAGGAAAUUCCAUCAUCCAUUACACACAUGAGUAGUUGAGAUUCAGUGAUAGAAUUUCCCCAAGGCGAUGCAGCUCAUAAAUGCACGAACGGGGAUACGAACUCAGUUUUGUCUGUUUGCUAAGCUUGCACUCAUUUCACUGUUCACAGUGCCCCAGAAAGGACAGUAUUGCCAAGCUCUGUUUCCUGGAAGCAGAAGACCCUGCAGGAUUGACCAAAUGAAUACGUUUGAUGCCGCGUGGUGAUCUCUUACCAAUACCUCUGCUUAAAGGUUUUGAAAGAAUCAAAAUCUGUCUAGCCCUCUGUAUACCCCAAUGCAUCCCCCAAACAAAGGGUUACAGUGUGACCAGAGAUUCAAGGACCUUUUCUUCUGGUGACGCUUUAUAGCUCAGAUAAGGAGAAAUUGUUUUCUGUGUGAGCACCGUAGAGAAAGGACCAAAGGUCCAGUCUCACCAGCAAGCUGCCAAAGUUUGGGCUCUGAGCCAGCAUCACAUAGAGCUCAUCGUCCAUCAUGGCGAGGUUAGCAGCUGUAGAGACCUGGGCUAAGGGAAAAGAAGCUGCCUAUCAGGAACUAUGAAGGAUCUGAGAUUUUACUCUCCUUGCCAGGAGACAGUGGAGCUUCAUGUGGCAAAGCAGCCCUUGAAAAGACUCCAAAUUAUACUGGAGGAGAAGAGUGGGAAAGCAUUAUGUGUCUUAAUAGCAGAUGAAGCAAGACUGGGAGAAGACUCUCAGCAUAUCAUUAUAAAAUUUGAGGCCUUCUGCUGCCUACAGCGGUCAACUGCUUAGUCCUCAGCCUCAUGGAAGUG